GCACAAGCGGUGGAUGAUGUGGAUUAAUUCGAUGCAACGCGAAAACCUUACCUACCUUGACAUGUCCGGAAUCCUGCAGAGAUGCGGGGUGCCCGAAAGGGAAUCGGAACACAGGUGCUGCAUGGCUGUCGUCAGCUCGUGUCGUGAGAUGUUGGGUUAAGUCCCGCAACGAGCGCAACCCUUAUCAUUAGUUGCUACGCAAGGGCACUCUAAUGAGACUGCCGGUGACAAACCGGAGGAAGGUGGGGAUGACGUCAAGUCCUCAUGGCCCUUAUAGGUGGGGCUACACACGUCAUACAAUGGAUGGUACAAAGGGUCGCCAACCCGCGAGGGGGAGCCAAUCCCAUAAAGCCAUUCGUAGUCCGGAUCGCAGUCUGCAACUCGACUGCGUGAAGUCGGAAUCGCUAGUAAUCGUGGAUCAGAAUGUCACGGUGAAUACGUUCCCGGGUCUU
Molecule: ribosomal RNA, 452 nt
Filed under: uncultured Thiobacillus sp.
Lineage: Bacteria; Pseudomonadati; Pseudomonadota; Betaproteobacteria; Nitrosomonadales; Thiobacillaceae
Description: bacterial SSU rRNA
Rfam family: Bacterial small subunit ribosomal RNA
Source: RNAcentral